GACGAACGCUGGCGGCGUGCUUAACACAUGCAAGUCGAACGGAAAGGCCCUGCUUUUGUGGGGUGCUCGAGUGGCGAACGGGUGAGUAACACGUGAGUAACCUGCCCUUGACUUUGGGAUAACUUCAGGAAACUGGGGCUAAUACCGGAUAGGAGCUCCUGCUGCAUGGUGGGGGUUGGAAAGUUUCGGCGGUUGGGGAUGGACUCGCGGCUUAUCAGCUUGUUGGUGGGGUAGUGGCUUACCAAGGCUUUGACGGGUAGCCGGCCGGAGAGGGUGACCGGCCACAGGGGGAUGGAGAACGGGCCAAGACCCCGCGGGGGGGAGGAGGGGGGGAAUUGUGAAAAAGGGGGGGAGGCCGGAGGCAGCAACGCGGGGGGGGGGAUGACGGCCUGGGGGUUGAAAACCGCUUUCGCCUGUGACGAAGGGGGGGGGAGGGUAAGGGAAAAAGAAGCCCCGGCAAAUUACGUG
This 468-nucleotide ribosomal RNA is filed under the name uncultured bacterium. Its description in RNAcentral is "partial 16S ribosomal RNA". It matches the Rfam family "Bacterial small subunit ribosomal RNA", at positions 28 to 507 of the family's 1533-position model. The record is from RNAcentral.